CCUUAUUAUACUGGGUUCGAGCACGGGGGCAACCUCACUCGCGAUCGAGCUAGUUUUUGAACGUGACAGCAUCUUUGACAGUGUGUUUCAGGUUUGUUUUGGAAUGUCUUCUGCUUAGUUCAAGUAGUUUGCGAUGGCUUCGAGCGGUGCUAAACCUCCUGCUGGUAGGAGCAGAGUCUCCGAGAGAGACAUGGACUGUGAGGCCGCUGCAGGAUUUUUUCAAGGCGCGGGAGGGAACGAUCUCGGGCCACAAACAGGAGUUACUCCAGAGAGCCAUCUUCUAUGAAGGUAACCGUGGUGCUGCCAAGUCACCAAGUCGCGAUCAGCAGCCCUGAAGUGGAAAAAUCGAUUUUCCAACGAUCUGCUUGGACAUCAGCCACUAAAGUACUUCUGAUUUGCCUGUAGUGACAACAGCAGCCAUCCUUGGACACCUUGCAAAGAUAGGAAAAGCCACUGGCGGAAGCGACUGCUAUGGGGUGACGAUAGCAGUGCAGUGGUGAUCGCUGUUUUGUCAAGUCGAAGGGCUAGCCAACCCAGAGGAAGCAUAAAAAAACGAUGAGCAGUGCGUGGUAUUUGUUGAGCGUGAAGAGCUAGAGGAGGACAGUGCAAACACAUGGACGGAGUGGAUGGUGUUUGAAGAACAGUGUGCUGUGUGCCGGCUGGUGGUGAUGGUGGUCUUUGUCAGCAUGUAUUCGUGCUGCUUCUUGUGCUGGAACACUUCUCGCCCAGGAAGGCAGAUUGCGUGCUCCCUGGCCCUCAGUUGGCAAUGGGGCAUUUGUUCCAGGAACAUUACCCCAGAGCCAAUGAUGAGUCGUACCUUUGAAAAGUCGAAGCUUGCUUUUAAUCGCAAGCGUAGCGCAGUGGAUUGCUCUCUCUUUGAAGCACGAGGGCUAAAGCUUGCCGCUGUCUGCAGCAAAGUGUGUGUGCGGUUCUUUCGAACCUAUGAAUAUACCCCCUGCAUGUUCAGAGUGAACUAUUUUCUAGUAUAUUUAACAUCCUCAACCCGCCACCACCAUGCGCUCUUGGCCGAACUAAUGCACGAAGCAUAAACACACCAGCACAGCAAGGACACUUCCGUUGACAGAUA
Long non-coding RNA from Sycon ciliatum, 1087 nucleotides. RefSeq lists it as uncharacterized. Lineage: Eukaryota; Metazoa; Porifera; Calcarea; Leucosolenida; Sycettidae. The record is from RefSeq and is a predicted model, not a curated record. The transcript has 2 exons.